RNAcentral lists this ribosomal RNA (253 nucleotides) under uncultured bacterium. Its description in RNAcentral is "partial 16S ribosomal RNA". It matches the Rfam family "Bacterial small subunit ribosomal RNA", at positions 524 to 776 of the family's 1533-position model. The record is from RNAcentral.
GACAGAGGUGCCGAGCGUUAGGCGGAAUCACUGGGCUUAAAGCGUGUGUAGGCGGGCGGGCAAGUACCUUGUGAAAUCCCACGGCUCAACCGUGGAACGGCUGGGUAUACUGCCUGUCUUGAGCCAACUAGGGGCGAGCGGAACAGACGGUGGAGCGGUGAAAUGCGUAGAUAUCGUCUGGAACGCCAAAGGUGAAAACAGCUCGCUGGGGUUGUGCUGACGCUGAGACACGAAAGCCAGGGGAGCGAACGGG